This 403-nucleotide ribosomal RNA is filed under the name Fusobacteriota bacterium. RNAcentral's name for it is "Fusobacteria bacterium partial 16S ribosomal RNA". It matches the Rfam family "Bacterial small subunit ribosomal RNA", at positions 355 to 776 of the family's 1533-position model. The record is from RNAcentral. Lineage: Bacteria; Fusobacteriati; Fusobacteriota.
UGGGGAAUAUUGCACAAUGGAGGGAACUCUGAUGCAGCGACGCCGCGUGAACGAAGAAGGCUUUCGAGUCGUAAAGUUCUUUUAUAUGGGAAGAUAAUGACGGUACCAUAAGAAAAAGCACCGGCUAACUACGUGCCAGCAGCCGCGGUAAUACGUAGGGGGCUAGCGUUGUCCGGAAUCACUGGGCGUAAAGGGUUCGCAGGCGGAAAUGCAAGUCAGGUGUAAAAGGCAGUAGCUUAACUACUGUAAGCAUUUGAAACUGCAUAUCUUGAGAAGAGUAGAGGUAAGUGGAAUUUUUAGUGUAGCGGUGAAAUGCGUAGAUAUUAAAAAGAAUACCGGUGGCGAAGGCGACUUACUGGGCUCAUUCUGACGCUGAGGAACGAAAGCGUGGGUAGCAAACAGG